AGAGGUUAAGCGUUUGGUUGCUAACCAAAAGGUUGGCGGUUCAAAUCCACCAGCCACUC
RNAcentral lists this transfer RNA (59 nucleotides) under Loxodonta africana (African savanna elephant). It matches the Rfam family "tRNA", at positions 14 to 71 of the family's 71-position model. Rfam says of the family: Transfer RNA (tRNA) molecules are approximately 80 nucleotides in length. Their secondary structure includes four short double-helical elements and three loops (D, anti-codon, and T loops). Further hydrogen bonds mediate the characteristic L-shaped molecular structure. tRNAs have two regions of fundamental functional importance: the anti-codon, which is responsible for specific mRNA codon recognition, and the 3' end, to which the tRNAs corresponding amino acid is attached (by aminoacyl-tRNA synthetases). tRNAs cope with the degeneracy of the genetic code in two manners: having more than one tRNA (with a specific anti-codon) for a particular amino acid; and 'wobble' base-pairing, i.e. permitting non-standard base-pairing at the 3rd anti-codon position. Lineage: Eukaryota; Metazoa; Chordata; Mammalia; Proboscidea; Elephantidae. The record is from Rfam by way of RNAcentral.